This 116-nucleotide small RNA is filed under the name Marmota monax (woodchuck). Lineage: Eukaryota; Metazoa; Chordata; Mammalia; Rodentia; Sciuridae. The record is from RNAcentral.
GCCAGGUGCAGUGGCAUGUACCUAUAGCCUCAGCUACUCAGGAGUCUGAUGGGGGGAGAUCACUUGAGCUCAGGAGUUCAAGACUAGCCCGGGCAGCAUAGUGAGACCCCCAUCUC